Molecule: long non-coding RNA, 673 nt
Organism: Cryptomeria japonica (Japanese cedar)
Lineage: Eukaryota; Viridiplantae; Streptophyta; Pinopsida; Cupressales; Cupressaceae
Exons: 6
Source: RefSeq, a predicted model, not a curated record
CAGAAUUUUGCUGGGGUUUAAAAAAAAUUUCAAUGAAAAAAAAUAAAAAAUAAAAAAUUAACUGUCUUAGUUGGCAACUGUCCUCAUGGCAAGUGCAAGGGAGGACAAAUGAAAAAACUUGAUUGAAAGCAUUAGUCGAUACAGAGGUCUGAUUGAAAUCAUUAGUCGAUACAGAGGUCAGAGUAUUAGCCAAGGCAUUUCUCUUUCCAGUGAUGCAGUGGUGGGCCUAAGAGCAGGAACUGUGAAGGGUUUUUUAGGAAGAGGUAGCACCAGUACUACAAUACAUAAUUUCCGUUCACGUCGCAUAUAUCGAGCACAUAAUAAUUGACCACUGUUCAGCAAAUUCACAAUCACACUGUUUCAAGCAAUUUCAUGAAGACAUUGUCCACCUAUCCAAUUGCCCACAGGAAUUUGAAUAUAAAAGCUGACAACAACCAACAGUUCAAUGUUGCAACUAUUGAAUGGCUUACAAUGUUUUUUGCAUACUUAUAGUGUUUUAGUUUUUGUAAAUAUAAAACUUUUCCAGCUGAACCACUACAUUCGAAAAUUUGUUUUGAAUACAAAAAUAUUUCACACAGUAAUUUUGAUACCUCUUUCAUGGUUGUUGCAUAUUAAAACUAUACAUGUUUAAUAAUGUUUUUUAAUAUCAUCAGAUUGAUUUUUGUUAGUCUUA